UACGUAGGGACCGAGCGUUGUCCGGAUUCAUUGGGCGUAAAGAGCUCGUAGGCGGCCACUCAAGUCGAAUGUGAAACCUCGAGGCUUAACCUCGAGCCUGCAUUCGAUACUGGGCGGCUAGAGUCUGGUAGGGGGAUCUGGAAUUCCUGGUGUAGCGGUGAAAUGCGCAGAUAUCAGGAGGAACACCGGUGGCGAAGGCGGUUCUCUGGGCAUGAUCUGACGCUGAGGAGCGAAAGUGUGGGGAGCGAACAGG
Molecule: ribosomal RNA, 253 nt
Filed under: uncultured bacterium
Lineage: Bacteria
Description: partial 16S ribosomal RNA
Rfam family: Bacterial small subunit ribosomal RNA
Source: RNAcentral